This 225-nucleotide ribosomal RNA is filed under the name uncultured Rheinheimera sp. Its description in RNAcentral is "partial 16S ribosomal RNA". It matches the Rfam family "Bacterial small subunit ribosomal RNA", at positions 568 to 792 of the family's 1533-position model. Lineage: Bacteria; Pseudomonadati; Pseudomonadota; Gammaproteobacteria; Chromatiales; Chromatiaceae. The record is from RNAcentral.
CACGUAGGCGGUUUUUUAAGUCAGAUGUGAAAGCCCCGGGCUCAACCUGGGAAUUGCAUUUGAAACUGGGGAACUAGAGUGUGUGAGAGGGGGGUAGAAUUCCAAGUGUAGCGGUGAAAUGCGUAGAGAUUUGGAGGAAUACCAGUGGCGAAGGCGGCCCCCUGGCACAACACUGACGCUCAGGUGCGAAAGCGUGGGGAGCAAACAGGAUUAGAUACCCCUGUA